UCCAAUGGGAUUGGGCAGCCGAGACUCACACCAGCCAAUCGAAGGAGCAGUCGGAGGGGGACGUGAGACCGGGGGACACUCCCUCAGAGUUGCCCCUACCGUCCACCGUCAUCCUUUCCUGCGGCCGCUGAGGAGAAAGGUUCUUCAGAGUGGCGCUGGUCCAAGCUGCGAAGUCCGGCAGGGAGACUGUUAAAACCUUCAGCCCUAUAACCGGAGGUACCAUUCAAAAUAACCCUUAUGGCGUCCCUUGUGGCUCAAGCUGGUAAAGAAUCCGACUGCAAUGCCGGAGACCUGGAUUUGAUCCCUGGGAUGGGAAGAAACCCUGGAGAAGGGAGAGGCUACCCACUCCAGUAUUCUGGCCUGGCGAAUUCCACGGACUGUAUAGUCCAUGGGGUCGCAAAGAGUGGUUCAGAACUGAGCGACUUUCACUUUCACGUAGAUGAAUCAAAAUUAAACGGCUGAUAAUUUUUGUUGGUUGGGAAACAGAAUUUUCUCUUGUUCAGUCGCUGAGUCCUGUCCUUAACUCUUUACAGCCCUGGGGACUGCAGCACAUCAGGCUUCCCUGUCCUUCACUGUCUCGGGGAGUUUGCUCAAAUUAAUGUCCUGUUGAGUUUGUGAAGCUGUCUAAUGAUCUCAUGCUCUGCUGCCCUCUUUUGCCCUAUUUUGCCCUCAGUCUUUCACAGCAUCAGAGUCUUUUCCACUGAGUCUGCUCUUCCAUCAAGUAGUCAAAGUGUGAAAGUAAUAUGUUGUCCCAGUCAGAAUUCUUGACUGGCUAAAUAUAAGGCCUUACACAUAUGGUUUCAUAUACAGUGUAUACAAUAAGAAUUUACCAUUGUGUGGUACUUAACGAUAACUUUAUUAAAAUUCUCCAUGAAACAUUAAAUUAUCUUAUGGUAAGAAAUGCUUAAAGAAUGGAUUGAAGAUUCCCACUGGAGGAAUUUGGGAUAAUAUAAGCCUCAAAGAGAGUAAUUGGAAUAAUUGAAUUUAAAAAUUGGGUAAAGAAAAUGCAUGAAUUUACAAGUGCCAGUAGAAAUAAAUAAAGGGAUGGAUGAAAACUUUUCUUUCAUAGAAAUGCCAGAGAAUAAAUGUACAACAAAUAAUAGAAUUAGAAAAUCACCAUUUUGCAAAUCAGUCACAAUUGAUUCAGACUAGAGAAUGCCAAAAGUCACUGGGUGAAAAUGUUCACUUGGUAUCAAGGUAUCAAGAUGUUAAAGUAUUAAAAGUCUGUUUUUCCCUUACUUAUUAUAAAAGGGAACAACAUACCUUUAUCUUAAAAAAAAGGGGGACUGCCUUAAAUAAGUGAUCAAGGCUAAUCAAUAAUGGGACAAUCAGAUGUUAUGUGCUUACGGAUACAAUAAGAAAUAAGUAUCAUAUGACAAAUAUUCUUGACAAAGUUAUUUCCCCUGAAUUUGAGUGCACUUCUAGUUCCCUUCCCUAACCUCCACCCCCGGCCCCUGGGCACUUUUGGGCAUGUGUGGAGACGUUUUGGUUAUAACCUGGUGGGAACGGGGAAAUAUUAAACAUCCUGCAACACACAAGAUAGCUACCUGUCCAAGAUGUCAGUAGUGCCAAGCCUAAGAUACAUAGGGAAUUUAACAGGUAAAACAUAAGGAAACAGGCAGAUAAAUCUGGAAUCUGACAUUUUUUAAAAAAAACCUGGCAUGGAUUGUACAAAUGUAAUUUAACUUUUACAUUUGUAAAAGUGUAAUUUUUUUGAAAAAGAAUUCUUCCAGGUUAAAAGGAAUAAAAAGACAUGACAACAACAUGCAAUCAUGGAUUCAGAAAGAAUAGGGGAAGGAACAGAAGGGAAGAUUUUGUGGCCAAAUGCACCAAUUUCAAUAUGGACUACAUAUUGGAUAGUAUAAUGGAAUUAUAGUUUUCUUAGAUGUGAUAAUAGUCCUUAAUAUUACAAAUUUUAUGUGAAAUAUCUAUGGCUGAAGAGCUGUGGUGUUUAUAACUAUGUAUGUGUGCGCCUAUGAAAGAAGGUAACUGUCGCAAAAUGUUUAACAGGGAAUCUAAUUGGAGGGUCCAGUGUUCAUUAUAUAUUUUUAAAAAUUUUUGUCUCAGUUUAAAACCUUUCAAAAUAAAAAUUGAAGGGAAAAGCA
Odocoileus virginianus texanus is the source of this 2105-nucleotide non-coding RNA. Lineage: Eukaryota; Metazoa; Chordata; Mammalia; Artiodactyla; Cervidae. The record is from RefSeq and is a predicted model, not a curated record.